This 424-nucleotide unclassified non-coding RNA is filed under the name soil metagenome. RNAcentral describes it as "partial contains 5.8S ribosomal RNA, internal transcribed spacer 2, and large subunit ribosomal RNA". The stretch from base 1 to 120 matches the Rfam family "5.8S ribosomal RNA", at positions 35 to 154 of the family's 154-position model. The record is from RNAcentral.
GAUGAAGAACGUAGCGAAAUGCGAUAAGUAAUGUGAAUUGCAGAAUUCAGUGAAUCAUCGAAUCUUUGAACGCACCUUGCGCUCCUUGGUAUUCCGAGGAGCAUGCCUGUUUGAGUGUCAUGAAACCCUCAAACCCAAGUUUUGGAUUUCGAUCCAUGCUUGAGUUUGGAUUUGGAUGUUUGCCGGUGAUGAACCGACUCAUCUUAAAAGUAUUAGCUUGGAUCUGUCUAUAUGACUGGUUUGACUUGGCAUAAUAAGUAUUUUGCUGAGGACAUCUUCGGAUGGCCAGGACCUAGACUACUGUCUGCUAACUAAACCAUCACUUUAAGUGCAUCUUUGGAUGUUACUCAUUGUGUAACUUUGACAUCUGGCCUCAAAUCAAGUAGGACUACCCGCUGAACUUAAGCAUAUCAAUAAGCGGAGG